CGCGGCCUAUCAGCUUGUUGGUGAGGUAAAAGCUCACCAAGGCGAUGACGGGUAGCUGGGCUGAGAGGUCGGCCAGCCACAAUGGAACUGAGACACGCUCCAUACACCUACGGGUGGCAGCAACCGGGAAUAUUGGACAAUGGGGGAAACCCUGAUCCAGCGACGCCGCGUGGGGGAUGAAGGCCUUCGGGUUGUAAACUCCUUUUGCCAGCCAUAAUGGCUUGGAGAAUAAGCACCUGCCAACUACGUGCCAGCAGCAGCGGUGAUACGUAGGGUGCGAGCGUUAUCCGGAUUUACUGGGCGUAAAGGGUUGCGUAGGCGGUUUGUUAAGUCAAAAAUGAAAUCUUCUCGCUCAACGGGAAGUGUGUUUUUGAUACUAACAAGCUUUGAGGCUUUCAGAGGUAACUGGAACUUGCAGUGGAGUGGUGAAAUGCGUCGAUAUUGCAAGGAACACCAAAGGCGUAGGCAGGUUACUGGGAAAGAUCUGACGCUGAUGCACGAAAGCUAGGGGAGCAAAACGGAUUAGAGACCCGUGUAGUCCUAGCCGUAAACGAUGGACACUAGAUGCCUGUCUUUUUAGAUGGGUGUCGCAAGCUAACGCGUUAAGUGCCCCGCCUGGGGAGUACGG
RNAcentral lists this ribosomal RNA (628 nucleotides) under uncultured bacterium. Its description in RNAcentral is "bacterial SSU rRNA". It matches the Rfam family "Bacterial small subunit ribosomal RNA", at positions 232 to 885 of the family's 1533-position model. The record is from RNAcentral.